AAAGUAGGCUGUCUUAUCGUCUCAAUUGUAUUGGGAUAGGAAAGUCCGGACAUCAUAGAGUAGUAUAGCGGAUAACGUCCGUCCAGCGUGAGUUGAGGACCAGUGCAACAGAAAGCAAGUACAGUUCGGCUGUAGUGAAACCAGGUAAACUCUAUACGAUGCAAUGCCAUGUACAUUGGAGCUUGAGGGUUACUCGCCCGAUCCAAGGGGUAGGCAGUUGGAUUCCACGAGUAAUUGUGGAACUAGAUAAAUGAUAAGAACCCGCAUUUGCGGUGACAGAAUCCGGCUUAUAGGCCUACUUUUUUU
Molecule: RNase P RNA, 306 nt
Filed under: Flavicella sp.
Lineage: Bacteria; Pseudomonadati; Bacteroidota; Flavobacteriia; Flavobacteriales; Flavobacteriaceae
Description: RNase P RNA component class A
Rfam family: Bacterial RNase P class A
About the family: Ribonuclease P (RNase P) is a ubiquitous endoribonuclease, found in archaea, bacteria and eukarya as well as chloroplasts and mitochondria. Its best characterised activity is the generation of mature 5'-ends of tRNAs by cleaving the 5'-leader elements of precursor-tRNAs. Cellular RNase Ps are ribonucleoproteins.
Source: RNAcentral